UCGGUGCUGGCGGGGGGAGGGGCAGAGGGUCUGCAGUGAUGACCCAUGGCUCAGUGUCACCUCAGAGCAGCUGCUUGUGGCCGAGCUCAGGGGCCUCCCCUCCUCAUUCCUGUCGGUGGCAUGGGCGGGAGGGGAGGCAGCCGCACGGCAGGUCUCUCACCUGGGUGGGUGGCCUCCUGGCUGGGUGUGGAUACAGCCUAGGAAAGACCCAAAGUGGGUUGGUUAUCGCAAGUGGUCUUGGCAACGUGGCCCUGGGGCUGCAACGGCAGAAGCUCUGUGACGCUGCUCCCUCCUCCGGGAAGCCCUCUUGAACCAUGUCUGCCCGCCUGAGUUGCUUCCUCCUUUAGACUCUGCUGUGGACCACACGGUCUGCCCUUCCUGUGUUCAAGCUUCUGUGAAUAGAGAAGUCUCGUGUCUCUGCAGAUCUCGGCUCCCGGAGAGCUCCCCAUGAGCGCUGGCUGUGUCGGCCGAGGGGCGAGCGGGUGCCAGGCGUGUGGGCCCGUAGAGGGUCCUGGGCUACAGGCUUAGGUGCGACCCCCAGCUACACCACCCACAACCUGCGUGGACAUGACCACGUGGCCCGCCGCUCUGAGCCUCAGUUUCCCCUCCUGUGACAUGGGAUCGUAGUGGCACUGGCCUCCCUGGGUUCCCGGAAGGCUUUCACGGUGACGGAUCUCCAGGCGCCUGCAGGCCAUCCGGGUCCGAGCCGCCUCCAGAAGGCCCUCUGCCCCCGCCCUGCCCGUGACCCAUAGCCCACUGACACUGGAGCUCACAGCAGGAAGGUGGCCAUCCACAAGCCAGGAGGAGAGCUCUCACCAGAAAAUGAAUCAGUUGGGGCCUCGAUCUUGGAUUUCCAGCGUCCAGAACCGUGAGAAUAAAUUGGCUGUUGAAGCCGCCCA
Neofelis nebulosa (Clouded leopard) is the source of this 899-nucleotide long non-coding RNA. RefSeq lists it as uncharacterized. The transcript is spliced from 2 exons. NCBI's taxonomy places the organism in Eukaryota, Metazoa, Chordata, Mammalia, Carnivora, Felidae. The record is from RefSeq and is a predicted model, not a curated record.